Molecule: ribosomal RNA, 468 nt
Filed under: uncultured bacterium
Lineage: Bacteria
Description: partial 16S ribosomal RNA
Rfam family: Bacterial small subunit ribosomal RNA
Source: RNAcentral
GACGAACGCUGGCGGCAGGCUUAACACAUGCAAGUCGAACGGCAACGCCCUGCGUUUGUGGGCUGAUCGAUUGGCGAUCGGGUACGUAACACGUGAAUAACCUGCCCUUCACUUUGGGAUGACUUCAGGUAACUGAAGCUAAUCCCGUAUAGCAGCUCCUCCUGCAUGGUGGGGGUUGGAAAGUUUCGGCGGGCGGGGAUGGAUUCGCGGCUUAUGAGCUAGUUGGUGGGGUAGUGGCUUACCAAGGCUUUGAACGAUAGCCGGCUUGAGAGGGGGACCGGCCACAUGGGGACUGAGAGACGGCGCAGACGCGUACGGUAGGCAGCAGUGGGGAAUAUUGUACAAUGGGACGAAGCCGGAUGCAGCAACGCUCGGGUCGGGAUGACGGCUUGUGGGGUGAAAACCGCAGUCGCUUGUGACGAAGCGGGAGUGACGGUAAUGGGUAAAGAAGCACCGGCUAACUACGUG